UUUCUUCCUACAAGAGCACAAACCAUGUACAUUUCCAGACAUCUUUGAAAAGCAAGUCAGCACCACCUCUCAGAUACCCAUGGAGUUGGGAGGUGCUGCGCUCAGGGAGACUGGAGGAGGUUCCGUCUCAUGCAUCAUCUGUGGCCGCAGAGGUCACACUGCCGGUCGUUGGCGGGUUGGUUCCUCUGGGGGUCGAGGCAGCAGGCAGGACACUCUAGCGUCACCCCAGACCAAGCUCCCAGAAAGUGAAGGCAGACGCACAGUCCCGGCUGUAUGACAAAGAGGAGCGGCCCAUGGAUCCCACCCCCAUACUCCCGGCCUCUUGCCUGGUGGUGCCGGUAGUGUGGGAGCUGGACACGGAUAUUGAGCAGGCGUUGAGUGCAAAGUUUUCUGCUUCAGUGUCUUUAGAUAUUUUUGUCAG
Long non-coding RNA from Oncorhynchus gorbuscha (pink salmon), 421 nucleotides. RefSeq lists it as uncharacterized. NCBI's taxonomy places the organism in Eukaryota, Metazoa, Chordata, Actinopteri, Salmoniformes, Salmonidae. The transcript has 3 exons. The record is from RefSeq and is a predicted model, not a curated record.